Molecule: ribosomal RNA, 497 nt
Filed under: uncultured bacterium
Lineage: Bacteria
Description: partial 16S ribosomal RNA
Rfam family: Bacterial small subunit ribosomal RNA
Source: RNAcentral
GAUGAACGCUGGCGGCGUGCCUAAUACAUGCAAGUCGAGCGAACAGACGAGGAGCUUGCUCCUUCGACGUUAGCGGCGGACGGGUGAGUAACACGUAGGUAACCUACCUAUAAUACUGGGAUAACUUCGGGAAACCGGAUCUAAUACCGGAUAAUAUUUCGAACCGCAUGGUUCGAUAGUUAAAGAUGGCUUUUCUAUCACUUAUAGAUGGACCUACGCCGUAUUAGCUAGUUGGUAAGGUAACGGCUUACCAAGGCAACGAUACGUAGCCGACCUGAGAGGGUGAUCGGCAACACUGGAACUGAGACAAGGUCCAGACUACUACGGGAGGAAGCAGUAGGGAAUAUUACGCAAUGGGAGAAAGCAUGACGGAGCAACGCCGAGUGAGUGAUGAAGGUCUUCGGAUCGUAAAACUCUGUUAUUAGGGAAGAAAAAAAGUGUAAGUAACUGUGCACGUCUUGACGGUAACUAAUCAGAAAGCAACGGCUAACUACGUG